This 153-nucleotide ribosomal RNA is filed under the name uncultured Tintinnida. RNAcentral describes it as "5.8S ribosomal RNA". It matches the Rfam family "5.8S ribosomal RNA". Rfam says of the family: 5.8S ribosomal RNA (5.8S rRNA) is a component of the large subunit of the eukaryotic ribosome. It is transcribed by RNA polymerase I as part of the 45S precursor that also contains 18S and 28S rRNA. Functionally, it is thought that 5.8S rRNA may be involved in ribosome translocation. Lineage: Eukaryota; Ciliophora; Spirotrichea; Tintinnida. The record is from RNAcentral.
CAAAUCCUCAACGAUGGAUAUCUAGGUUCCUACAACGAUGAAGAACGCAGCGAAGUGCGAUAAGCAAUGCGAAUUGCAGAACCGGGAGUCAUCAGAUUUUUGAACGCAACUGGCUCCUGAGGGCUCUCCCUCAGGAAUGCUUCUUUCAGUGUG